GAUCUGGCAUUGGUGGAGGUAAUCUCUGAGGAGGGAUUUUGUGGCGCAUGCACGAUAGCCUCCUAUUACUUUCCUAUGGGAAAGCAUUGGAUUGGCUGAGAUCAUCAAUUCUGAUGAUCUCAGCCAAGGAGGAGGAUCGGAGGCGGGGCUAGGACUGGCGGACCUACAUGCUAUGUUUACAGCAGGCAGGGUAAGUGCUAGAUGGACCUGGCACCCAGACCAUUUCAUUAAGCGGAAGUGGUCUGGGUGCCUAUAGUGGUCCUUUAAGAUGCCUAGCGACUGUGCGCAUGUUUAGGCAUCUAACAGCGAAUGCAGUAUGCGUUCAUAUGCGCUCUGCAAUUUUUACAGCGGUGCCAUACGCACACAUGUGCUGUGAGCAGCAACAAAUUGACAUACUGAACUGGUUUUGCCGCGUAAUGAAAUAAAAUAAAAUAUUACGAAUUUUAAGACAAUUUUAGCUUAACCAAUAACUAACUUUUAGCUGUUAACUGCUUUUUGUUCCUGUUAGGUUGUGCUAAAAAUGUGACACCUCUUUAAGUAUAAUUGUAUUUUGAAAGUAUUAUAAAGUAUUUCUACAUUUUAUUACACAUCUGUUUUAUUUCACAAAGUGAGAUAUAUUAUUAAACCGGCAAUACUAUAAUAAAUAUAACUGUAUAUAGGGUAUAUAUGCUAUAGGAUUGUAGGUAAAAGAUCAAUCCACAGGAACAUUCUAUUGGUUUCCAUGGUGACUGUUCCUGUUUCAGGCGUAGAAUACUCAGCAGGGACAUUCCGUUGGUUUCCAUGGUGAUUGUUUCAGCUGUACAGCAAUUGGCAGAAGCAUUCCGUUGGUUUCCAUGGUGAUUGUUUCAGUUGUAGUGCAAUCAGGAAGAACUUUCUGCUGGUUUCUGCUGUAGUACAAUGAAAAAGAACAUUCUAUUGGUUUCCACUUUGAUUGGUUUCCAUGGUGAUUGUCCAGAACUCCUGUAGGUCUAACCUGCUAAAAUAGUAAUGGAAAACCGUGGGCCCCAGAUGUUUUUAGAUUCCAACACCUAUAAUGCUCUGCAAAACAAUGACUAAAGGUAAUUAUGGGAGUAGUAGUCCAACAAUAUGUGGGGAUGGUUAAUAACAUGUGUGUCAUAGUGCUGGCAGUUUACAGCAUGGCAUCCACUGUGCCCCCAAAUAACUCCUCAUAUAUCUCAAUGGGGGAGGAGGGGGUCUUUAUACCCAUGCCAAAUAAAGGGGAAUAAUGGGGGUCUUUAUACCCAUGCCAAAUAAAGGGAAUAAUGGGGGGGCCUUUAUACCCAUGCCAAAUAAAGG
Molecule: non-coding RNA, 1296 nt
Organism: Pelobates cultripes (western spadefoot toad)
Lineage: Eukaryota; Metazoa; Chordata; Amphibia; Anura; Pelobatidae
Source: the annotation of a GenBank genome assembly